Molecule: unclassified non-coding RNA, 443 nt
Filed under: Hevea brasiliensis (rubber tree)
Lineage: Eukaryota; Viridiplantae; Streptophyta; Magnoliopsida; Malpighiales; Euphorbiaceae
Source: RNAcentral
UAAAAUGGGUGGGCUCUUUUUAUUUUAUUUUCCCCUCUCUGUAUAUCAAAUUAUUUUUUGUUUCUCUCAAAAUGUAGUCAUUCUACAGUCAUCAAUUCUUAUUUUGAAUGACAUUUGACUAAUAAACUCCUUUCAGUAACUCUUUAACUUAACCGUCCUUUCCACCAAUGCUGACAAUAGAAUAGCUGCCCAUUUACAAAUUGUUGUGAUUUUGCAGCAAGUUUGAUGGUUUGUUAUAUAAAUUGAAUUUGGAAGCACUUAGAUAUUAAUUUACUAAUCUGAAGUUCUUAAAAAAAAAACAAAAAUCAAUGGAGACCUUUUUAACCAUAUCAUGUUUUGAAACCCCUCCAUAUUUUGAGCUUUUUUAUUUAUUGCCCUCAAUCUCUUGCAUUUUAAUGAUUUUCAUCCAAAUUAUACCCCUCAAUUAUAACUGGGUCCAAUUA